RNAcentral lists this ribosomal RNA (253 nucleotides) under uncultured bacterium. RNAcentral's name for it is "partial 16S ribosomal RNA". It matches the Rfam family "Bacterial small subunit ribosomal RNA", at positions 524 to 776 of the family's 1533-position model. The record is from RNAcentral.
UACAGAGGGUGCGAGCGUUGUCCGGAAUCACUGGGCGUAAAGGGCGCGUAGGUGGCCCGAUAAGUCGGGGGUGAAAUCUCGAGGCUCAACUUCGAGGCUGCCUCCUAAACUGUCGGGCUUGAGCAGAGUAGAGGCAGGUGGAAUUCCCGGUGUAGCGGUGGAAUGCGUAGAGAUCGGGAAGAACAUCGGUGGCGAAGGCGGCCUGCUGGGCUCUUGCUGACACUGAGGCGCGACAGCGUGGGGAGCAAACAGG